CUAAGUAUAAGUCAUAUACGGCGAAACUGCGAACGGCUCAUUAAAACAGUUAUAAUUUAUUUGAUAAUGUCUUUAUAUGGAUAACCAUAUUGGGAAACUAUGGCUAAUACAUGCUUAAAGACCUUCGGGUUGUAUUUAUUAGUUUUGACCGAUCUCAGAUCGUGAUGAGUCAUAAUAACUGAUCGAAGCACACUUGUGUGUGCUGAAUUUUUCAAGUUUCUGCCCUAUCAGAUUGUUGGUAGUGUAUUGGACUACCAUGUCGAUCACGGGUAACGGAGAAUUAGGGUUCGAUUCCGGAGAGGGAGCCUGAGAAACGGCUACCACAGCUACGGUAGGCAGCAGGUGCGUAAAUUACCCAAUCCAAAAUCUGGAAGGUAGUUACAGGAAAUUUGUAGCAUAGGAUUCUAUCCUAGACACAAACGAACACAUGUAAGUAUUGUGUGUUUAAUUGGAGGGCAAGUUUUGGUGCCAGCAGCCGCGGUAAUUCCAACUCCAAGAGUGUAUCUUAACGUUGCUGCAGUUAAAAAGCUCGUAGUUGAACUUCUGGCUGUUGAUGAAGCUUAUGUGAAUUCGACAGUCAUCCGCUAGGAGAAGCAGUAUUUCCCUCAAAAGUUUUACUGUCGACCCAGCAUUUUACUUUGAAGAAAUUAGAGUGUUCCUGGCAGGCUUAGUUUGCAUAUAUUAGCAUGGAAUAAUGGAAUAGGACCUUUUCUGUUUUAUUGGUUGACAGAUAGGUAAUGAUUAACAGGGACAGUCGGGGGCAUUCGUACUCAGUGGCUAGAGGUGAAAUUCUUAGAUUCGCUGAAGACGAACUAAUGCGAAAGCAUUUGCCAAGGAUGUUUUCAUUAAUCAAGAACGAAAGUUAGGGGAUCAAAGACGAUUAGAUACCGUCGUAGUCCUAGCCAUAAACUAUACCGACUAGGGAUUGGUGUGGGUCAUAAUCCAUAUCAGCACCUAAUGAGAAAUCAAAGUCUUUGGGUUCUGGGGGGAGUAUGGUCGCAAGGCUGAAACUUAAAGGAAUUGACGGAAAGGCACCACCAGGAGUGGAGCCUGCGGCUUAAUUUGACUCAACACGGGGAAACUUACCAAGACCGGACAUAAGCAGGAUGGACAGACUGUGGCACUUUCUUGAUUCUAUGGGUGGUGGUGCAUGGCCGUUGGCAGUUGGUGAAGCGAUUUGUCUGGUUCAUUCCGAUAACGAACGAGACCUCAAUAUAUUCACUAGUUUUUAUUUUUUUAUUCAGCAAUGGAUUAAAGGACAAACUUCUUAAAUCAGACCAUUCAUUUUUUUUUUCAAAUGAAAGGAAGCUUGAGGCAAUAACAGGUCUGUGAUGCCCUUAGCUGCCUUGGGCUGCACGCGUGUUACAAUGAUGAAUUUCAACGAGUUUUUUUAUUCUUCUUUUUUAUUCCAGCAAUGGGAUGAAAAAGGAGGAUGGGGUAUUUUCAAUAAAAUGGAAAUAUUUUUAUAAAAAUCCUUAUUUGAAAAAAUAGGGGAAUCUUUGGAACAUUCAUCGUAACAGGGCUUGAUCAUUGGAAUUAUUGGUCAUCAACGAGGAAUUCCUAGUAAACAUGAUUCAUCAAAUCAUGUUGAUUACGUCCCUGCCCUUUGUACACACCGCCCGUCGCUUGUACCGAUUGAAUGGUUAGGUGAAACUAUUGGAUUUUUAUUUUUUUUAAAAAGAAAAUAUUUUAACCUCAUUAUUUAGAGGAACAAGAAA
RNAcentral lists this ribosomal RNA (1718 nucleotides) under uncultured eukaryote. Its description in RNAcentral is "SSU rRNA". It matches the Rfam family "Eukaryotic small subunit ribosomal RNA". The record is from RNAcentral.